This 307-nucleotide ribosomal RNA is filed under the name uncultured bacterium. RNAcentral describes it as "partial 16S ribosomal RNA". It matches the Rfam family "Bacterial small subunit ribosomal RNA", at positions 355 to 653 of the family's 1533-position model. The record is from RNAcentral.
UAGGGAAUCUUCCACAAUGGACGAAAAGUCUGAUGGAGCAACGCCGCGUGAGUGAUGAAGGGUUUCGGCUCGUAAAACUCUGUUGUUGGAGAAGAACAGGUGAUAGAGUAACUGUUAUCAUCUUGACGGUAUCCAACCAGAAAGCCACGGCUAACUACGUGCCAGCAGCCGCGGUAAUACGUAGGUGGCAAGCGUUGUCCGGAUUUAUUGGGCGUAAAGCGAGCGCAGGCGGUUUUUUAGGUCUGAUGUGAAAGCCUUCGGCUUAACCGGAGAAGGGCAUCGGAAACCGGGAGACUUGAGUGCAGAA